Long non-coding RNA from Tarenaya hassleriana, 1323 nucleotides. RefSeq lists it as uncharacterized. The transcript has 4 exons. NCBI's taxonomy places the organism in Eukaryota, Viridiplantae, Streptophyta, Magnoliopsida, Brassicales, Cleomaceae. The record is from RefSeq and is a predicted model, not a curated record.
CUCAUCCCUCUCACGACAUCGUUUGACUCCUCCGAAUUUUUCUAUAUUCAUGCUCGAUUCGUGAUGCUAUUGGCUAGGGUUUAUUUGAUCUCAUUGUAUAUCUCUCAGCGAUUCUUUUAUAUGUAACCAGAGAACGAUAAUUGUUUGCCGGGGAAAUAUUUAUGUCUCGUCGUCUGCGAUUCAUUCGGGUUUCGAUCCCGCAUUUGAGGUUUUUGAUGACAUGAAACCGAGAAAUCGUGUGCGGUUUAUUUACUGUAUGGUAUGAGAAUUGAGAUGUGCUCUUCAGCCUCUCGAUUUCCGAUUUGCAGUCUCAUUUUGUUUUAGCGUCAUAUCUUGUUCAUCUCAAUGCUAUUGGUAUGUGAUUGAUUAUUUCUUCACAGCUCUCCUGUUCGUAUAAGGGUGAUUGUAUCAGCUUAGGCAUAUCUGUUAUUCCAGAUUUCUGGGUUUUAAAUUCAAGCUGAUGAUAUCAGAAAAUUCUAGUUUACAACCAUUAAUGUAGUUUCUAAGUUGAUAUCCCCGCAGUUUCAGGGUUUUGAAACUGAUGUAAAGCGGAAAGAAGAAACGUGGUAGUGUAAGAUCUUUGCAGGACCAUUCAAAAGUAGGUCAAUUUUCUGAUGAGACUUACAGAGAGAUUGGAAGAGUGGAGGGAGUCCAAGCGUAUGCCUGGCAAACGAGAUUCAUCGGGCAACAGAAUUGAAAGCACAGUUCAUGGCAAUCUAAAGGGGGUAGGGGAGGAAGAAAACUGACCAAAGUAGUGGUGGUGGGUGGGUCUCAAUCGCGAUGCUCUCUCCAGCAGAGAAGAAUGAUGAGACAGCGUCGGAUAAUGGUGCGGGGGCUUUGUUUUGAGAUUUGAAGUGAGAGUGGUAAGGAUGAAUGUGAAACAGGAAAAAAGCAAAGGAGUUUCGGUUACAACCUUGGGGUUUUUGUCUCAGUCAAACAUGGUGUUGUGCUGCUUUAGGGUUUGUUUUGUAUUGGUCAUAUGAGAGGAUCAGUAAUUCCAAGAGAGUUCCAGUCCAGAGUAACUGUCUUCUUCUUCUGACAGGAGACAUCGGUUACUGCUUCUUCAAUGCCCAGAAAAGGACAAAUCCCCAGGCUUGUGGAUGUUGGAAGAGAAAUAACAUUCUCCUUUGGAUCGUAUGGAUGCCCAAUGGGGAUUUGGUAUGUGCAUGUCACGAGUGACGUCUCUUUUAAUGAUUCAAUAAUUUAUUUACUGAUACUACAUUCCACAUCGGCAUGUUCAAUAUUAAUUCCCUCGAACAUGGUACAAAAGUUAAUUUCCUAUGCAUGAUACCAUCAGUUCAUUAUAAAUUCCGAUUUCUCCUC